This 102-nucleotide microRNA precursor is filed under the name Manduca sexta (tobacco hornworm). RNAcentral describes it as "let-7a stem-loop (mse-let-7a)". Its record names the gene mse-let-7a. The record is from miRBase by way of RNAcentral. Lineage: Eukaryota; Metazoa; Arthropoda; Insecta; Lepidoptera; Sphingidae.
GAGAGAGUGCCGUCGGUGCGGUGAGGUAGUAGGUUGUAUAGUACUGCAUUACAACAUUUGGGAGGGACUGUAUAGCCUGCUAACUUUCCGGACCGCCGGCCG